UGCAACCACUGACUUGCAAUUCUGUAGUUUACAUCAAGAUUCGAACAACAGCAAGACCAACAGCAGAUAUGGAAACAAGUGUACUACUUUAUCACAUCAUAUUUUGCAGCUUCCAAUUGGGCCCUUAAUGCGUGAAUUUCUCUAUCGAGUUUGUUGGUGAGGUUAGAGGUUUCAGCAUUCUGAUCUGCCAACUCAUCACGUAUCCUCCCUNUCCCUCUUUCAAGAUUCAAAUCCAACCGCUGCCCAGCAGUAACUUUGUCAAUUUCAUGCCUCAAUUCACUGCGCAUCUUCUCGAUAUCAUUCCGAAGUUUUUCAGUCUCGUGUUGCAACAAAGAGAAAUGAUGUUCCUGCGAACUCUGGACUUCAGAUUUAAAUUUGGACAAACUGGUGUCUUGAAUCAUUUCAUUUUUCUGCAUCUCUGCCUUCGAGACAACCGAUUGAGACACAUUUUCCAAGCUGUCGUUCAAAACUUCAGUUAUGGCAGCUGUUAUAGCCUCAGCUUGCUUUGAGGGCACGCCCUGUGCCUCCAAUCUUCUGACAAGGGCUAAAGUGUCGACAAGAAACAAUCUCUUCCCGUUAGAUUUGACGAGCUGAGAAAUCUGCCUAGACCCAGAAAUGGAAACAAAGGAAUAGCAGUCCAAAGGGGCACCAAAUCCUCGAUUCCGACCAAAAACGAUCCCUGAGUUGGUCCCAAAUUGAC
Molecule: unclassified non-coding RNA, 700 nt
Filed under: Hevea brasiliensis (rubber tree)
Lineage: Eukaryota; Viridiplantae; Streptophyta; Magnoliopsida; Malpighiales; Euphorbiaceae
Source: RNAcentral